Molecule: ribosomal RNA, 458 nt
Filed under: uncultured bacterium
Lineage: Bacteria
Description: partial 16S ribosomal RNA
Rfam family: Bacterial small subunit ribosomal RNA
Source: RNAcentral
CCUACGGGCGGCAGCAGUGAGGAAUAUUGGUCAAUGGGCGAGAGCCUGAACCAGCCAAGUCGCGUGAGGGAGUACUGCCCUAUGGGUUGUAAACCUCUUUUGUCGGGGAGCAAAAGCCGGACGUGUCCGGCUGUGAGAGUACCCGAAGAAAAAGCAUCGGCUAACUCCGUGCCAGCAGCCGCGGUAAUACGGAGGAUGCGAGCGUUAUCCGGAUUUAUUGGGGUUAAAGGGUGCGCAGGCGGAUUUUUAAGUCAGCGGUCAAAUCGUGGGGCUCAACCCCAUCCAGCCGUUGAAACUGGGGAUCUAGAGUGUGCGAGAGGUAUGCGGAAUGCGUGGUGUAUCGGUGAAAUGCAUAGAUAUCACGCAGAACCCCGAUUGCGAAGGCAGCAUACCGGUGCACAACUGACGCUCAGGCACGAAAGCGUGGGUAUCGAACAGGAUUAGAUACCCUUGUAGUC